AUUGAACGCUGGCGGCAUGCUUUACACAUGCAAGUCGAACGGUAACAGGCCGCAAGGUGCUGACGAGUGGCGAACGGGUGAGUAGUGCAUCGGAACGUGCCCAGUCGUGGGGGAUAACUACUCGAAAGAGUAGCUAAUACCGCAUACGAUCUAUGGAUGAAAGCGGGGGACCGUAAGGCCUCGCGCGAUUGGAGCGGCCGAUGUCAGAUUAGGUAGUUGGUGGGGUAAAGGCUCACCAAGCCAACGAUCUGUAGCUGGUCUGAGAGGACGACCAGCCACACUGGGACUGAGACACGGCCCAGACUCCUACGGGAGGCAGCAGUGGGGAAUUUUGGACAAUGGGCGCAAGCCUGAUCCAGCAAUGCCGCGUGCAGGAAGAAGGCCUUCGGGUUGUAAACUGCUUUUGUACGGAACGAAACGGCUCUGGUUAAUACCCGGGGCUAAUGACGGUACCGUAAGAAUAAGCACCGGCUAACUACGUG
RNAcentral lists this ribosomal RNA (482 nucleotides) under uncultured bacterium. RNAcentral describes it as "partial 16S ribosomal RNA". It matches the Rfam family "Bacterial small subunit ribosomal RNA", at positions 30 to 507 of the family's 1533-position model. The record is from RNAcentral.